UACGUAGGGGGCAAGCGUUGUCCGGAUUUAUUGGGCGUAAAGCGCGUGUAGGCGGCCAUGCAGGUCCGUUGUGAAAACUCGAGGCUCAACCUCGAGACGUCGAUGGAAACCGCAUGGCUAGAGUCCGGAAGAGGAGAGCGGAAUUCCUGGUGUAGCGGUGAAAUGCGCAGAUAUCAGGAAGAACACCCGUGGCGAAGGCGGCUCUCUGGGACGGUACUGACGCUGAGACGCGAAAGCGUGGGGAGCGAACAGG
This 253-nucleotide ribosomal RNA is filed under the name uncultured bacterium. Its description in RNAcentral is "partial 16S ribosomal RNA". It matches the Rfam family "Bacterial small subunit ribosomal RNA", at positions 524 to 776 of the family's 1533-position model. The record is from RNAcentral.